This is a non-coding RNA of Cricetulus griseus (Chinese hamster), 397 nucleotides long. NCBI's taxonomy places the organism in Eukaryota, Metazoa, Chordata, Mammalia, Rodentia, Cricetidae. The record is from RefSeq and is a predicted model, not a curated record.
GUGGAACCUGGGCAAUACCUCAUUGCCCACUGCCAACUGGACUGUAGUGGGUGAACAGACCCAGCUGGAGAUCUCCACACGUGUGCCAGGCUCCUACUGUGUACAAGUGGCUGCAGUCACUGGUGCUGGGGCUGGAGAGCCCAGUAGCCCUGUCUGCCUCCUUUUAGAGCAGGCCAUGGAGCAGUCAGCCAGAGACCCCAGUAAACAUGCUUCCUGGACCCUGGAUCAGCUGAGGGCCACAUUAAGACGACCAGAAGUCAUCGCCAGUUGUGCUGUCCUGCUCUGGGUGCUGCUACUAGGCAUUGCUGUGUGUGUCUAUAGACGGCGCAAAGCUGGGGUUCACCUGGGCCCAGGUCUGUACAGAUACACCAGUGAGGAUGCCAUUUUAAAACACAGG